UCUUUUUGAGAGUUUGAUCCUGGCUCAGGAUGAACGUUGGCGGCGUGCCUUAAGCAUGCAAAUCAAGGGGCCCUGAGAGCAAUCGAAGGGAACCGGUGGACGGGUGAGUAACGCGUGAGAAUCUGCCUUAAAGUGGGAUAUAGCUUCGCGAAAGCGGGGGUAAUCUCCCAUGUGGUCGCAAGACUAAAGCCGUAAGGCGCUUUAAGAUGAGCUCGCGUCCUAUCAGCUAGUUGGUGGGGUAAUGGCCUACCAAGGCAACGACGGGUAGCUGGACUGAGAGGUCGGUCAGCCACAAUGGUACUGCGACACGGACCAUACACCUACGGGUGGCAGCAACUGGGAAUAUUCGACAAUGGGCGAAAGCCUGAUCGAGCGACGCCGCGUG
Molecule: ribosomal RNA, 385 nt
Filed under: Candidatus Daviesbacteria bacterium
Lineage: Bacteria; Candidatus Daviesiibacteriota
Description: bacterial SSU rRNA
Rfam family: Bacterial small subunit ribosomal RNA
Source: RNAcentral